RNAcentral lists this ribosomal RNA (464 nucleotides) under Vreelandella stevensii. RNAcentral describes it as "partial 16S ribosomal RNA". It matches the Rfam family "Bacterial small subunit ribosomal RNA", at positions 338 to 795 of the family's 1533-position model. The record is from RNAcentral. Lineage: Bacteria; Pseudomonadati; Pseudomonadota; Gammaproteobacteria; Oceanospirillales; Halomonadaceae.
CCUACGGGGGGCAGCAGUGGGGAAUAUUGGACAAUGGGGGGAACCCUGAUCCAGCCAUGCCGCGUGUGUGAAGAAGGCCCUCGGGUUGUAAAGCACUUUCAGUGAGGAAGAACGCCUGGUGGUUAAUACCCAUCAGGAAAGACAUCACUCACAGAAGAAGCACCGGCUAACUCCGUGCCAGCAGCCGCGGUAAUACGGAGGGUGCGAGCGUAAUCGGAAUUACUGGGCGUAAAGCGCGCGUAGGUGGCUUGAUAAGCCGGUUGUGAAAGCCCCGGGCUCAACCUGGGAACGGCAUCCGGAACUGUCAAGCUAGAGUGCAGGGGAGGAAGGUAGAAUUCCCGGUGUAGCGGUGAAAUGCGUAGAGAUCGGGAGGAAUACCAGUGGCGAAGGCGGCCUUCUGGACUGACACUGACACUGAGGUGCGAAAGCGUGGGUAGCAAACAGGAUUAGAUACCCUAGUAGUC